AAAAUAGUUUAGUUCAAACUAGAAUAAAUGUAAAUUGACUCAAGUUGAAUUAGAAACAAGUUUGAAUAAUUUGUGAGUAGAUUUUAUUCAUUUACACCCGACUUUGGAGUCUGGAGAUCUCUCGUGGCCUUAUCAUUUUGUAUUGUUUAACUAAUACAUCGCCAUAGAUACAGGAGGAAGUAGGUUAGAGGGAUUUGAAGAAGAGGAAGAAGAAGAGGAGGAAGAAAGGAAAUGAAGAAGCUAAGAUGGGCAAUGGACGGAGGAUUCUGGGACGUAGACGUGUCGACGCCGAGAACCAUCGACGGGUUAGCUCGAGCCGCCCCCGGCGAGACUCUGCCUCUGGGAUUGUCCAGGGGUACGAGGCUUUCCAGACCUAAGCAGAUCCAUUUCAUGCACCACUUCAUGGCCAUGCCUUUUGUCCCUUCCUAUGCCGCUCAUGGCUUCUCCCUCCAACGCCUUUUCACUCUCCCCUUCUUCCCCGACUCAUGGUUUGCUGCUCUGCUGGGUCAGUUCCAUUUGCAGAAGUUUGUGUCUUCCGUUAAAGAGAUGAGGCGUUUGCAACCCUUAGAUUCCUCGUGCCUUCCAAUCAUUGCAAGACGUCUCUGUGAUAAGUCCUUUUAUGCUCUUGCUUUAUCUUCAGAGCUGUUGUUGACACCCAACGAUACGUUGCUUUUCAGCUCGGAACUGAAUGAUGCCGAGGAUCAGAAAUUCUCUCGAAAGAAAGCAGUUUUUCAACACAAGUUUCCAAAUCACAAUUUAACAGUGGAGGCAGUUUGGCCUGGACUUUUCAUUGAUAGGCCUGGUGCUUACUGGGAUGUGCCAUUGUCCAUUGCAAUCGAUCUAGCUUCUGUUGCCUCCGACUCUGGCGCAAGUUAUCAUUUGUGUUUGCACCAUAACAUGGGUUCACCCAAGCAGUGCCAAGGUGAUCAGACCCAUGUACCCUCUCAUCUACUUCCUGGUUUGUGCCUUAAAAAUGCUUUCUCCUUCAAGAAGAACAUCGACAUUUGGAGGAGUGAAGCACAGAAGCUGAAGAUGGUGCAACCAUUUGAUAUUUUCCUAUCAAACCCUCAUAUUUCAGCAUCUGGUAUCAUUGGUGCUGUUGGGACCGCUUCCCUUGGAGAUAAUUCAGUGAAAUCAAAAGUAGAAGAUGAAUCACUGGGUUUUGAAGGUUUAAGUUUUCAUGCUGCGGGAUUGAAAUCCGCCUUUUUAGCAGAUAUAUUUGCUUCUUUAUCAUUCACAGCCCAGCAUGGGAACUUUCAGAAACUGUUCCUAGAUCUUACCCGAUUUCAUGCUCACCUGGAUUUUCCUUCUGGAGUGAAAUUUAUUUCGGGCACUACGCGCUUAGCACAAGAUCUUUAUAAUUCCCAACAGCCAAGUGCAGAAGCUGUUCAGGCAAUUUGCCCCAGAGCUUCCCUUUCACUACAGCAACAGGUACCUAACAUUAAAAAAACUAAAAAUAAAAAAAAAAAAAAAAAAAAUCUGAUGUCUAUAUGUUUGAAAAAAUUGAUGAAUGUUUCAUGAGUCUCAACAAGGCUUAGUUAAUCUUAACAAGAGAGAAUAAUAGUUCAAUUAAGAUAGCCCUUUAAACAAAAUUUCUAGUGUCCCUUUUUGUGAAUUGAUCUGUUGUCAAAAUUAGUUUUAAAAGUCCUUAGUUGUCAAAGAAGCUUAUUCUAGUAUGUGUUAAAAACUGACUUCAGCUGUUGCAGGUUGAAUUGUUUCCACAAUGUUUGUUUUUUAAUCUAUCCUAUCUAAGCACUUUGGGAGUUUGUUGGUUUCAUUAGAAUAAUAAUUAAUUGUUCUAAGUUAAUAAUACUGUUAGGUUAUCACUUACCUAAAAGCUUAAGCUAUUAGGUUGUGGGCCAACAAGUAUAUCAAGCUUUAACACUCCCCCUCACGUGCAGCCUGAUAGCACUUGGAGAGAUGAGCACACUAUAAUAACACUCAUCACAGGGAAUACAAAAGUUUUUUAAAUACCACAUAAUAUAUACGGGCAACAAGACUAGAACCCAAGACCUCUUGGUAACCAGCUCUGAUCCCAUGUUAGAUUACCAUUUUACAUAAAAGCUUAAGCCGUUGGAUUAUGGGCCAACAAUGCAUAUCAAGCUUUAACAAAUAUAUUUAUGAUGGUUAUUCAUUUGGUAAUAGAAUUAGGUAUGGUGGGAAAACUCAUUUUUCUAUCUGUGCACAUUGAGCAUUCAUUUGCUUUCUUGCCCCAAGUUCCUCUUUCUUAAUUUUCUUCUUGAUUGAAUCUUGAUAAUUCUUGAUCUUGUCCUUCAAUUGUAUUCUUCCCGUUUGUUUCUUUACAAUUGAUUAGACUUGUUGUUAAUUGAAGCUUUGGUAUUCCUCUCUGCAACAUCUUAAAUUUGUUCUUGGAUUUGCUUUGAGAAUUACAGAUCAAAUCCUUGAGAAUCCUUUCAAAUCUAUAGUGAAAUUUCUUGGCUAUAGUCUUUGUGAAGUUCAAAUAUGAUGUUUGAGUAACAAUUGCAAAAUUAAAAAGUACAAAAAUUACAUUGAGCAGUUUGUAAUGGAUUCUUCCAAAGAAUCUGAGCUCUAGUACAUUCAGCCUGUUGAAUUAGUGGAAGGAUGAUGGUUUUCUUGCCGGAUGGAAUUUUCUGAAUUGGAAGCAAAUCUCUAGCAUCUACAUUUGUGAAAAAUAUCGUUGAGAUGAUGUGGAAAACACAGGUUACUACCAAAUUCUUGGAAAAUCGGCAUUGCAUGUCUGAAAAGGAACAACCAAAAAUGGAGAAGGUACCUAUAUGGAUGACAUUUUACUGUGGUCCUUCUGUUUAUUGGAACAUUCUUGAUCUUGUUUAUGCUACAUUAUAUCCAAUUUUGUUGGAUUUCCUUUUUAGUUGGGAGUCAUAUACAAAGCAGAAUCUUACAUGUACCAAAAUAUAUGUUGAAAUUUACAUUAAUGACUAGUUAUUGGAUUCUAUUGAAUUAUUGACUCCUACUGGUAGUUGACUUAGAAUUUGCUUGGAAGCCUUUUCAUAUGCUCCAUGUUUGGUCACUCCGGGGACAAGAUAGGAGACUACUUCGUAAAUAUGAAAGACCAGUCCCCAUCUUGGGCAAAGUCGGGAAGUCUUCUUACAAAAUUGACCCUCCGGCUUAGAUGAAAGUGCAUUAUGUGUUUCACGUCAGCUGCCUUAAGCCGUUCAACUCCGACACCGAAGAUCUAAGCAGAAGUUAGUCAAUUAGAGCAAAAUUGAAGACAGUGCAAUCCGACAGAUGAGAAGUUGAAGACAUCCUUGUAGACAGAGAGUUCACAUCCUCGAGGAAGAAGCGGCGGGAGUUCUUAGUGAAGUGGAAAGGACUUGGCGACGAAGAAAUCAGUUAGGUUUCUAUGGAAGAUAUGCAGCUGUUCGUAGACAAAGUUGAAGUGCACCUAGCGUCAAGCAUGAGGACUUCGAUUGUAUCAGUGGGGAGCGUCACAAGCCAAGCUUGUUCAGGGCAUUAUGAUUGCCUGUGACCGCUUGUCUUGUGCGUUUGGGAUGAGUUUCCAUAAUGUAAAUACUAGUGUAGGGUUGUUUUUCAGAGAUAGUUUUUCCCUAGGCUAAAAGGGGAAGUACGACUCCUCGGUCAUAUUGAUGUCUCCUAGUGCCAGAGUGAGAAUACCAUAGAAAGCUCUUUAAGGGAGGGUGAGUGUUCAUCAACUUGUAAAACUUACUAGCUAUUGUCAACGUGUUUAGCCUACUUGCCUCCCUCGCGAGACAUACAAUGUUUAUUGAGGUGUUGAUAAUGAAUUACGUUGUUUCAAUGUU
Molecule: RNA transcript, 3761 nt
Organism: Malania oleifera
Lineage: Eukaryota; Viridiplantae; Streptophyta; Magnoliopsida; Santalales; Ximeniaceae
Gene name: protein TRIGALACTOSYLDIACYLGLYCEROL 4, chloroplastic
Exons: 5
Source: RefSeq, a predicted model, not a curated record